Molecule: unclassified non-coding RNA, 2284 nt
Filed under: Copidosoma floridanum
Lineage: Eukaryota; Metazoa; Arthropoda; Insecta; Hymenoptera; Encyrtidae
Description: tyrosine-protein kinase Src64B, transcript variant X2
Source: RNAcentral
ACUCGCAGCGAGCGAACAAAAUUGUCGUCGCCCUGUACAAUUACACGGCCCGAGAGAGUACGGAUGUGAGUUUCAUGAAGGGAGACCGCAUGGAGGUGCUGGACGAUUCCGAGCCCGACUGGUGGAAGGUGCUCCAUCUCACGACCCUCCAGGAGGGACUCAUACCCUUCAACUUUGUCGCCGUCGAACGAUCCGUCGAAAGCGAAGACUGGUUUUUCGAGAACGUGUCGCGCAAGGAAGCCGGCAAGCUACUCCUGGUGGACGAGAACCCCCGCGGUACCUUCCUGGUGCGGCCCAGCGAGCACAACCCGCGCGGCUACAGUCUCUCGGUUAAGGACUGGGAGGAGGGCCGGGGCCACCACGUCAAGCACUACAAGAUCAAGCCCCUGGACAACGGCGGCUUCUUCAUCGCCACCAACCAGACCUUCCCGACCCUCCAGGCCCUCGUCAUGGCUUACAGCAAAAACGCCCUGGGCCUGUGUCACGUGCUGUCGAAGCCGUGUCCAAAGCCACAGCCGGACAUGUGGGAUCUGGGCCCGGAGCUCAGGGACAAGUGGGAGAUCGACCGCAAGGAGAUCCAGCUGAUCAGGAAACUCGGGUACGGGCACUUUGGCGAGGUCUACUACGGCAAGUGGCGCAACAAGAUCGAGGUGGCCGUCAAGACCCUCAGACCCGGCACCAUGUCGACCGAGGCUUUCCUGCAGGAGGCAGCGAUAAUGAAGCAGUUCCGGCACCGGCACCUGGUCGCCCUCUACGCGGUCUGCUCGAAGGAGGAGCCGAUCUACAUAGUCCAGGAGUACAUGUGCAACGGCAGUCUGCUCGAUUUCUUGCGCACCGGCGACGGCAAGUACAUGCAGUUCGAGGACCUGAUCUACAUCGCGGCCCAGGUCGCCUCGGGCAUGGAACACCUCGAGAGUAAGCAGCUCAUACACAGGGACCUGGCCGCCCGCAACGUGCUCAUCGGUGAGAAGAACAAGGCCAAGAUCUGCGACUUUGGCCUGGCGAGGAUCAUCGAGGACGACGAGUACUGUCCGAAACAGGGUAGUCGCUUCCCGGUCAAGUGGACCGCACCCGAGGCCAUCGUCUACGGACGCUUCAGCAUCAAGAGCGACGUCUGGUCCUACGGCAUCCUCCUCAUGGAACUCUUCACCUACGGACAGGUUCCCUACCCUGGUAUGCACGGCCGGGAGGUGAUAGAGCAGGUGAACAACGGCUACCGCAUGCCGAAGCCAGUCAACCACCCGCUGCCGGACAGCAUCUACCGGCUGAUGUUGCAGUGCUGGGACGCGGUGCCGGAGAAGCGGCCGACCUUUGAGUUCCUCAACCACUACUUCGAGUCGUUCAACGUCACGAGCGAGAUACCGUAUUUGGAGCCGCCGACGGACUGAUACAUGACGGCCGCGGCGGCCGCGUCCCACCUAGUGCCACACCACCACCAUCAUCACUACCAUCCGCAUAACGUCAACUGUGCCAUGGAAUUUUACGGUAUUUACUGUUGAAGGAGCUUGUAAUGCUGUCUGCACAUACUGCCACACGUGGAUGUAUCGAAUGCGACUCUCUCUCUCUCUAUUUUUUUUUUUUUUACUUAUUGAGCGUCAGGCAAAGUACGACGAGGCUGAGCUGAGCUCGAAAUGAAAAAAAUAUGUCGAAACGUGACGUUUUGGGGAACAUUUUGUAAUCGACGGGGAACUUUUUGCGUAUUAAUUUUACUCUGUUGUGCGGGUAGGUAAGGUAAAAUGCAGCUGACAAUUAACAAACAAAAGUCAAUUUCCAGAGAAAUCGAAAACAAAAAAAAAAAAAGCUACGUUUGGGUACUAAGCCGACCCUGGCAAAGGUGCUUCUGUAUACGCACUGAAUAUCGUUCGAUAGGUAGCCGAUAACAAAGAAUCACACAGUUCAGUGCAAAGUAUCAACGACGAUUGACUCCAGGUGCCAUAAUAGCGCACGUCCACAAUUCCAGAAACACGUAUAGGUAGAUGUGCGCGCGCGCGCGACGCCGGUAAUCGUUAUUUAUUGUUUACUGAUGUAUAAAAAAAAAAAAUAACAAAAAAAAACAAAAAACAAAACAAAAAUACAUAAACGUAAGUCGCACAUGACAACAGUCACCAUGACACGGAAUGUCUGUAUAAAUGGUUUUUGUAGAGUCAUUUUUACGUGAUGCCGACUGAACGAAGGAGAAAAAGGUUUAACUGUAACCCAUCACUGGAUAAAAAAGGGUUAUUGAAGUAACGACGAGGUCUUGGUAAAGUAAUUUUUAACAUAGUAUUUUUAAGAAGUAGGUCUG